This 847-nucleotide ribosomal RNA is filed under the name Bacillus pumilus. RNAcentral's name for it is "bacterial SSU rRNA". It matches the Rfam family "Bacterial small subunit ribosomal RNA", at positions 28 to 833 of the family's 1533-position model. Lineage: Bacteria; Bacillati; Bacillota; Bacilli; Caryophanales; Bacillaceae. The record is from RNAcentral.
GAACAACGCUGGCGGCGUGCUAAUACAUGCAAUGUCGAGCGGACAGAAGGGAGCUUGCUCCCGGAUGUUAGCGGCGGACGGGUGAGUAACACGUGGGUAACCUGCCUGUAAGACUGGGAUAACUCCGGGAAACCGGAGCUAAUACCGGAUAGUUCCUUGAACCGCAUGGUUCAAGGAUGAAAGACGGUUUCGGCUGUCACUUACAGAUGGACCCGCGGCGCAUUAGCUAGUUGGUGAGGUAACGGCUCACCAAGGCGACGAUGCGUAGCCGACCUGAGAGGGUGAUCGGCCACACUGGGACUGAGACACGGCCCAGACUCCUACGGGAGGCAGCAGUAGGGAAUCUUCCGCAAUGGACGAAAGUCUGACGGAGCAACGCCGCGUGAGUGAUGAAGGUUUUCGGAUCGUAAAGCUCUGUUGUUAGGGAAGAACAAGUGCAAGAGUAACUGCUUGCACCUUGACGGUACCUAACCAGAAAGCCACGGCUAACUACGUGCCAGCAGCCGCGGUAAUACGUAGGUGGCAAGCGUUGUCCGGAAUUAUUGGGCGUAAAGGGCUCGCAGGCGGUUUCUUAAGUCUGAUGUGAAAGCCCCCGGCUCAACCGGGGAGGGUCAUUGGAAACUGGGAAACUUGAGUGCAGACAGAGGAAGAGUGGAAAUUCCAACGUGUAAGCGGUGAAAAUGCGUUAGAGAUGUGGGAGGAAACACCAGUGGGCGAAGGGCCGACUCUCUGGGGGUCUGUUAACUGGACCGCUGAAGGAGCGAAAAGCGUUGGGGGAGCGAAACAGGGAUUGAUUCCCUGGGUUGUCCACGCCGUAAACGAAUGAGUGCCUACAGUGUUAGGGGGU